AUCACUUUAAAUUGGGUCGUGGUCAUCAGAAAUGAGAGGUGGGGCAGCGAGUAAGAUGGGGAGGAGCGGCCCCGAAAAGUAGAGGUGACGAGAAGAGGUACGCAAAUGGCACCAGUUGAACCGACCUUGUCCGAC
This is a non-coding RNA of Caenorhabditis elegans, 135 nucleotides long. The record is from Ensembl. Lineage: Eukaryota; Metazoa; Nematoda; Chromadorea; Rhabditida; Rhabditidae.